CCUACGGGAGGCAGCAGUGAGGAAUAUUGGUCAAUGGGCGCAAGCCUGAACCAGCCAUGCCGCGUGCAGGACGACGCAUCUAUGGUGUGUAAACUGCUUUUGUACGGGAAGAAACCCUGCCACGAGUGGCAGAUUGACGGUACCGUAAGAAUAAGGAUCGGCUAACUCCGUGCCAGCAGCCGCGGUAAUACGGAGGAUCCAAGCGUUAUCCGGAAUCAUUGGGUUUAAAGGGUCCGUAGGCGGUUUUAUAAGUCAGUGGUGAAAUCCGGCAGCUCAACUGUCGAACUGCCAUUGAUACUGUAGGACUUGAAUUAUUGUGAAGUAACUAGAAUAUGUAGUGUAGCGGUGAAAUGCUUAGAUAUUACAUGGAAUACCCAUUGCGAAGGCAGGUUACUAACAAUAUAUUGACGCUGAUGGACGAAAGCGUUGGGGAGCGAACAGGAUUAGAUACCCUGGUAGUCCACGACGUAACGA
RNAcentral lists this ribosomal RNA (474 nucleotides) under uncultured bacterium. RNAcentral describes it as "bacterial SSU rRNA". It matches the Rfam family "Bacterial small subunit ribosomal RNA", at positions 338 to 809 of the family's 1533-position model. The record is from RNAcentral.